This is a long non-coding RNA of Siniperca chuatsi (mandarin fish), 912 nucleotides long. RefSeq lists it as uncharacterized. NCBI's taxonomy places the organism in Eukaryota, Metazoa, Chordata, Actinopteri, Centrarchiformes, Sinipercidae. The transcript has 2 exons. The record is from RefSeq and is a predicted model, not a curated record.
UGUCUAUCUGUCUCUCUCUCUCUCUCUGCCUGCAGCGGUUUAAACAGGAACUUUAACAGUCCGUUGGUCACUGCGCCCAUAAACGUCCAUGACAGCAAAUCUUCCUGCAGACACGCCCAGGUGCCAGCCCAGAAUCUAAAUGGACAGCCAGAGGAUAGAGAUUCCCCCAUGGAGCUGGGUCAGCGUGUAAAUCAGCCAUCCAGAAGUAGGCCAAAGGACAGCCUGCACCAUGCAUCUAACCUGCUGGAGACCCGGCACUUUGUUUGAGUGAUUGUGUGUCUUUGAGUGAACUUCCACAGCAGCGGGUGCAUGUGUGGAAAUACAGAUUACAAAAAAACUCUCUUAGUUUUGAAGGCAUUUUACCAGUCUCUUCCGAGGGUUAGGAAAUGCAUCUAGUCAAUGGAAGGCCUCCUCAAAAAUGUAGUAAUACAAAUCUGUGUGUCUAUGUGUGUGUGUGUGUGUAUGUGAGGGGGCCGGUUCUAAUCAAUAAACAGACAGUUAAAUAAUUUCUUCGUAGGCACUAUUAGCCUGAAUCAGGAUCGCCUCAGAUCAGAAGAUCGAACUACAACACGGAAAGGAACCGAUGGCUUAUCCAAUUAAAAAUGAAUAAUACGAACAGAAAAUGUGCACUGAGCCUACAUAGGUCAAACAAGAAAUACCAAAUGAGCUGUGCUGUCUGCUGCCUCUCAAUACAUCCGGAGGAGAAAGAGAGAGAGAGAAGAGUGAGAAGCAGCACAACAACACAGAGUUUCCCAAAUGAGCUGUUUGCCUGCCACGCUUCGGGGCUCUUCCAUUGUUGCUGUGUUUAGAAAUAGUCUCAGCUAGGUUAUUUUAAAAUUAGCUGCUGCUUAAACCUUUGCUGCGUGCCACGAGAAGUGCCACCUUGAUUAAAGUGCACAGUGAUGACUUCAA